RNAcentral lists this non-coding RNA (211 nucleotides) under Sinorhizobium alkalisoli. The record is from RNAcentral. Lineage: Bacteria; Pseudomonadati; Pseudomonadota; Alphaproteobacteria; Hyphomicrobiales; Rhizobiaceae. RNAcentral also lists the same sequence under 1 other name.
UCCAUAUGGCGCUCGUCAGGUGCCCGCAAGCGCGGGAGAAUCGGGAAGUCGGUGCAAUUCCGGCACGUGCCCAACGCUGUGACGGGGACGGCCACGCCAGUCAUGCUCUGAAGAGAUUCGGAGCCUUGCCACUGAAUCCUCAGGCGAUUCGGGAAGGCGGCGCGGCCGGACGAACCGGAGUCAGAAGACCGGCCUGGCAAGAUGGACCGGC